CCUACGGGAGGCAGCAGUGAGGAAUAUUGGUCAAUGGACGAGAGUCUGAACCAGCCAAGUCGCGUGAAGGAUGACUGCCCUAUGGGUUGUAAACUUCUUUUAUAUGGGAAUAAAACGUUCCACGUGUGGGCUUUUGUAUGUACCAUCUGAAUAAGGAUAGGCUAACUCCGUCCCAGCAGCCGCGGUAAUACGGAGGAGCCGAGCUUUAGCCGGAUUUAUUGGGUUUAAAGGGAGCGUAGGUGGAUUGUUAAGUCAGUUGUGAAAGUAUGCGGCUCAACCGGAACAGUGCAGUUGAAACUGGCAGUCUGGAGUACAGGAGAGGGAGGCGGAAUUCGUGGUGUAGCGGUGAAAUGCUUAGAUAUCACGAAGAACGCCGAUUGCGAAGGCAGUUCACUGGACUGCAACGGACACUGAGGCUCGAAAGUGUGGGUAGCAAACAGGAUUAGAUACCCUGGUAGUC
RNAcentral lists this ribosomal RNA (460 nucleotides) under uncultured bacterium. Its description in RNAcentral is "partial 16S ribosomal RNA". It matches the Rfam family "Bacterial small subunit ribosomal RNA", at positions 338 to 795 of the family's 1533-position model. The record is from RNAcentral.